CCCUUCCUUGAAAGGCCCCUCUUUGCUGGGAUGCUGAACUGAACUCGUAGAAGGAAGGGGCUGCAGGAAGAGGGAGCUGAGGGGACUGUAUUAGAAUUGGGGAAUAUUGGGGUGAUGCCAAGCUAGUCUGGGGCACCUCCUAAGAGCUCCCAGCACUUUGACCACCCCACCACCUUUCUGUCAAUGGCCACAGGGACUCUCAUUUCUUUAUAUCCCCCAGACAAAUUGUCUCUCCUACCUGCGAACUGUACCUCAAACUCCCCACUCCCAUUGCUGGCCCCGCAUUUGCCACCCACUCAGCUCUAUUUCUCUGAUUUGCUUUCACUCCAGUCUGGCCGCUGGAAUGUUGUUCCUAUUUGUUCUUCCUGUUUAGGACUCCUGCCGUCUGUCAAGUCCCCAGACUGGUUCUGCCUCCUCCAGGAAGCCUUCCCUGAUUGCCCGAACCCACAUUUUAUUCAUUUCAAACGGGCAGAUCCGGCCCGCGGGCCAUAGUUUGCCCACGGCUGGCCUAGAAGGUUGGUGACUCCUUGGAGGCCAGAGAUCCACAUAUGGUGAAUGUGAGUACUUUUUAGAUGUUUGGAGUACUCAACCCUCUGGCCAGUAAGUACACCCCCAUAAAGCAGUGCCCUCACUGAUGGUCAGUGUCCCCAUGAGCCUCCUGAAUAGUCACUACCCUCUAGGGAUUAUCUGUGUAGUGGGGGUGCUUUGUGGAUGGUCCAAGGGGCAGUAUAGUCAGACACCCCUAUAGAGAGGCACAGAGGGCCCCCAGAAUACCCUCCCCACCCACUCACCUCCCCAUCCCCAUCUGGACCCAACUUUGAAUGCACCCCUGGCUCAUUUGCUCCUGAUGGUCUCUUUCCCUGCUUGCACCUCAGUUCUCCCCAGGCCCUGUGCUCUGGGUGGACAGAGGGGAGGGCACCAACCAUGGUCGGCAAAUCACGGGGCUGUGGUUGGGAACUGGGGGUGGUUCUCUAGAGUGCCCUGCCAGGGCACUAGUCCUUUCUCCCUCCCAGCAGCCCUCACCAGAAGGCAUGGCUGUGUUGGCACCACACUGAUGGUGGAGAGUGAAGAGACGCAGGGAGAUGGGAGGAAGGGAAUUCAUUAAUGGUGAGGAGGGGUGUUUAUAGGGGAAGGCAAGACAGUGGACUUAGGAGCAAGCUUCCUAACGGGAAAUUGCAAUCUGCCAUUAACAUCUAGGUGUAAAUUAAUAUAUCAGAUGGUGUGUGUGUGUGUGUGUGUGUGUGUGUGUGUGUGUGAUGGAGGGUCAGUAGGUCAGAGUCUCAGGCCCCCGUCCAGAGGAAGCAGGACCCUGGCUCACUUGGUCUGCCCAUGCCGAAGGGUGGGAGUGUGAGCGAGGGUGGCUCAUUCUCCAGCUGCUGUUCUCCCAUCUACAGAGGAGUGGGGGCUGGGGGAGGCUCGGGCUCCCAGCCCAGGGAGCACAUGUGCUGGGUGGGGGUAGAGAGGGGGAGGACAGAGAUGCCAAAGCUGGUAAAGGCCUGGCCUCUUCCCAUCUCAGACACCCUCGAGGCACUGUCCUCUCUACAUCCAGAGCUUGGCUGCAGCGGGGUAGAUGAAAAGGAGGAGAAACUGUUGGAUAAAAAGAAAUUUGAAAAAAAAAAAGUAAGUGAAAUAUUCAAACUGGAAAGUGAUAUUAUAGAAACUGCAGCCCACGGCUCAGUGCAUUCAAAUUUAUUCAAACUCGGCGCCUGACAGUGAUGGAUGCGGCAGCUUUUCCCACAAUAUGGAGAAGGCGCGGGGGCAUUUAGGACUGCGGGUCCCCUCCGGGAGGGUGGGGGCCCACACCACCUCCCAUGCCUUGCUCCUCCUAAACUGGAAGCAUAGUUCUGGGUCCUGCUCCCUCUACUCUCCCAAGACCCAGCCACUUCCUGUAGGCCACAGUUCUGGGGUCCUGGGGGAUUGGGUCCCACCAGCUCAGAUGCUUAGGGGAUGGCCCAAGACAGAGGUAGCAGGCUGUGAGCCAGCGUGAUCACCAACGCCAUGGAAGAGGGUGGCUAACCUGUCCACGGAGGUUAGAGGAAGAACACCGUGGUGUGGUUCAAAGCCAAAUAAAUAGUGUGAACCCAAUGUGCCCCCAAGCACGCUGGGGCCUCAGGGUGCCAAGUCAGGGAACAGUCGGUCUCCUCCCCGGCCAGGGUGGCAGCCACCCCACCCAGGAGAGGGACAGAAGAGAGCCUGUGAGGAAGCCUUGAGUCUGGGGGCUUGGCCCGAGCAGUGAGUAGGUGACAGUGUUCCUGAACGUGUGCCCUGGAGUGUCCCCUGCUCCCAGCCUCCACUCCACCAGCUCUUUUCCAGACAAGGUUGCCCAUGGCCUCCUGUCCAACCUCCUGGCCAAUAGACCCCCCGUCUGAGUCCAGGCUCCAUCCCUUGGAAUACUGGCCACUCUGGAAAACUCACUGGUCUCUUGUCUCUCUUGCCCGUUGCACUCGCCUGCUUUGCCCACAUCUCUAACGUUCCUUUGUCUCUUUCACGUCCUACCACUUCCCGAGAUGUGGCUGCGGUGCAAAACCCAAGCUUCAGCUGGGCCCUCUUCUCUCCUACCGCUUCUCAGAAGACUCAUCCGCUCGGCACCUCAGCUAACACCUUCCUGCAGGUGAUGGGACCCCUGGCCUCGGAUUCCAAGCCUCUGUUCAGAUCCAAGUCCACAAUCCACACACCACAAGGCUAAUAUGUUGAAAAGCAAACUCAUCUGUCUCUCUUAACGCCAGAAACAAUAUGUGAUUCCCUAUUUUGUAAAGAGCCCCAUCACCCACCCACAUACCCUCAUAAAAACUUUGAACCUCUAGCUCUUCACCCAGCCCAUCUCUACCUUCAAUCAGCUUACAAAUUCAGAGAUACUUCCUAUGUCUUUUGCCCCCACUUUUCCCUCAUCAUCACCACUCACCCAGGAAUGCCCUUAUCACAGCUUUCCUGGAUCCCUUCAAUCCAAUCAACAAACCAUUACUGAGUGACCACCAUACACCGGUCUCCAGGCAAAGCAUCUUCCUCCAAGCGGGGCUCUCGGCCUUUAAGUUCUACAUCUCCAAUUGUUCUAUGGCUGCUGCCAGGUUGAUGCUCCUAAAACACAGCUCUAAUCAUGUCACUCGGCUGCUCAGACACCCUCAAUGGCUCCCCACUGCCUACUAAAUAAAGUACAAACUCCUUA
Myotis myotis is the source of this 3163-nucleotide long non-coding RNA. RefSeq lists it as uncharacterized. The record is from RefSeq and is a predicted model, not a curated record. The transcript has 2 exons. Lineage: Eukaryota; Metazoa; Chordata; Mammalia; Chiroptera; Vespertilionidae.